Molecule: long non-coding RNA, 303 nt
Filed under: Heterocephalus glaber (naked mole-rat)
Lineage: Eukaryota; Metazoa; Chordata; Mammalia; Rodentia; Bathyergidae
Description: lncRNA (ENSHGLG00000042869.1)
Source: RNAcentral
CCAUCACAGCCUCUGGGCCAACCCUGCCCGAGGGUUUCUUUCCACCCCUGUGUCCGGCUGUGAUGCACUCGAGGGACGCGCAGUAGCCACGCAGGAACAAGCCUAUGGGACCAUGUAGGCGCUUAUGAAGUUGCCAGUGCUGCUCUUCUGAAUGGAGACCUCGGGACUCUGGGGAGGAACAGUGAGUCAAAGGCAUCACCAACCACUGCCACUCCCACCCCCACCAACCUGAUGCUUGGAUCUGCACCUUUUUCAUGCCCUUCCCAAGCCUGCAUGGACUUUCCAUCAUCCUGUGAUGCCACC